This 484-nucleotide ribosomal RNA is filed under the name uncultured bacterium. RNAcentral's name for it is "partial 16S ribosomal RNA". It matches the Rfam family "Bacterial small subunit ribosomal RNA", at positions 30 to 507 of the family's 1533-position model. The record is from RNAcentral.
AUUGAACGCUGGCGGCAGGCCUAACACAUGCAAGUCGAGCGGAUGAAGGGAGCUUGCUCCUGGAUUCAGCGGCGGACGGGUGAGUAAUGCCUAGGAAUCUGCCUGGUAGUGGGGGAUAACGUCCGGAAACGGGCGCUAAUACCGCAUACGUCCUGAGGGAGAAAGUGGGGGAUCUUCGGACCUCACGCUAUCAGAUGAGCCUAGGUCGGAUUAGCUAGUUGGUGGGGUAAAGGCCUACCAAGGCGACGAUCCGUAACUGGUCUGAGAGGAUGAUCAGUUACACUGGAACUGAGACACGGUCCAGACUCCUACGGGAGGCAGCAGUGGGGAAUAUUGGACAAUGGGCGAAAGCCUGAUCCAGCCAUGCCGCGUGUGUGAAGAAGGUCUUCGGAUUGUAAAGCACUGUAAGUUGGGAGGAAGGGCAGUAAGUUAAUACCUUGCUGUUUUGACGUUACCAACAGAAUAAGCACCGGCUAACUUCGUG